GCUGACGCCAUUGUAGACCUCAGCCCGUCUGUACCCAGGCGCUCAUUAGAACAGCGUGUUGCUCCACACCGCCUUGUGGUGUUUGUUACCGCGCUCUUGGGGUUCGAACCGAUACAGCAGGCUUGCAGCUAUUUCAUUGGUUUAAACUUUUAUUUUUUUAUUGCAAAUGAAAAUUACUAUCAACUAUCAUUACAAAGCUGUAGAAUAUGAAGUUCGAAGGAAAACGCUGAAUCAGUAUACAAAAGCGUCUCAAUCAGACUCAUCCAUUUUGAAGCAAUUCCUCUGCCAUUUUGCCACCUCCUCUCAAAUUCAGCGACUUACCAGAAAGCCUGUGUGGAUGAAUAUUGCUUCCAGGAGUCACAUAAUUACAUCUAAAAUCAUAGAAUGUUAGAGCUGGAGGAAUCUUUAGAGUUUGCCCAAGGUCCUUCACCAGCAUUUUACAGAAGAUUCUUCGAUUUAACUGCUCUUAAUUACAUCCCGUUGCACUGGCCCCAUCAAGUUGCUUUAAACAGCCCUUCUAGUCAACAGAGCUGCAGAGAAAAACCUUGGUUGGUUCAGGUCACUAGGAUGCAGAGCUGUCACACUUCAUUUGUGAGAACACUCCAGAGCUUCCUCCAGCUGCUGAUUCCAAACCAGCUUCACAGUGCCUGGAUACAUGUUAUCUUCUGAGAAAGGCCAUCUCUAACCACUCUGUUCUUCCAGUACAAGCAAGCCGCUCCUGGGUCUUAUCUCUAUUUUAUCCACAGAACUCAUUUAUUUCCUUGCUUUUUAUACCUUUAUGCCUGAAUGGAUGUUCCUUGGAAGCAAAUUUUCCUUCUUUACUAUUUCAUUCCUAGUGUCUAUAACAUAAAAUAAGUGUUCCACAAAUUCUCGUAUGAUGAAAGAAUAAUAGAAUAUUAAUAUAAUAGAUAAAUUAAUAAAAUACGUUCACCUAUGUGCACUUUUACCUUAAAUAGUAAUAAUAAGCAGUUUUAACGUGUCUGAUGCUUUUCUAAUGCCAGUGCACAAUGCCUUCCUGUUUAUUUUGGGCCUCUUAGGCAGCCAGCUAACUAGGGAGCUCAUACCACUAAAUGAUUAUUGUGAGAACGGAGCAGGAAAGACAGGCAGUAGAUCCAGGAUUCAUCCAUUUGUAUUAUGUUAAAUACAAUGGUAAUCACACUAUUUUACCCAUUCUUCUCCUAGCUCCUUCUGAAUCCAAGGCAAAUAAACAAACUAUGCAAAGAAAUCAAACAUGACUUCUUCUUGGUCCUAUAAGAAGAUUGUUCAUGCUAUGCUUGUUAGAAGAGUUACAUGUAUACCUAUGAUCUUCGAAGACUAAAGAAAAUAUCAAGGAAACGUAUUUCAAUAAUGAUAUGGUCAAGACAUAGAGUUUCUUAUAUUAAUAAUACAAAGUUCACUUUCUGAAAAAAUGCACAUAUUGUUUAAGAUCGUCACAUAGUUUAUAUAUUUUAAUCGCUCCAUAAUUACGGAAUUAUUUUAAAUAAUAGCAAUAAUUAUAAUUGUAGUAUUUAAUGUCAAUAUUUCUACAAAUUAUAUUUAAGUAAAUAAGUAUAUUGUGAAAGGAGAGGGAUUCAGGAUCAGGGGUAUGUUCAAAAAUCUAUUUGUUUUUGUCAUUGUUGAAUAAAAAUCUCCCAUCUCAAAAUCUUUGUAAAAGGAUAUCCAUGGAAAAAAGAACCUAUUACUUUAUUCUCCAGUCAAAAUUAAAACUGGUUCACAAUGGCCACAUCUUCUAUUUAUACAUAAAACACAGCUUUUAACAUAGACUAAUUUUUGUCUGUUAAAAAUGAAAUUGAGAUUCAGUAAAGAUGGAUUCAAAUUCAAUACGUUAAAUCUAUUGUUUUAAAUAUACCAGGUCAUGUGUGCUCUCUCUUUUCCCUCCAACCCAUUUCACUCCCCUUCUUUCUCCUUUUGAACUGCUGACCCGAGUUAGUAGCCAAACAUAAUAAUACAGUGUUUGAUUCUCUGGAAACCCAUAAAAUUACAAACCAGCAACCACUAGGAUGUUGGCAGAAUUUCUGUGGACAGCAACCAGCAUGGUACUUUUUUUCUUUUUGAAAUGAAGCAGUACAUUGCAAUUGUUGAUACAGUACCAAGGAAGGGAAUAACGUCCACCAUAUGUCGCCCCCACCACCUAACUCUUUUGACUACUUGAGGUUGGGAGAGAGAAUUCAUCUAUUUAAAACAUGAAUGCCUUCUCUUUUAGCCUUUACUAUUUAAAGAUGCCUUUUUUCAUUUUUUUUAUUUUUAUUAAGCAGCAGUGGAGUUUUAUACUACUAUACUAAGUGCGACAGAAGAUAAACAUAUAAAUAAAACAUACCACUACAUGCCUUCAAGAAAAACAAAAUCUAAUAAAAUCUAAAAUCUAAUGGGAACUUCAAGUUUUACUGGAAAUUAGAGACUCUUUCUUCUCACUGCAACAGGAAUAUUUGAUUAGUCGUACAGCUGCAC
This 2448-nucleotide long non-coding RNA is filed under the name Homo sapiens (human). RNAcentral's name for it is "HSALNT0391307". Lineage: Eukaryota; Metazoa; Chordata; Mammalia; Primates; Hominidae. The record is from RNAcentral.